UUUCCGUAGGUGAACCUGCGGAAGGAUCAUUAAAGUUAUAGUCCCCCGGCCCCUCCGGGCUGGGGUCUUCUAUACCACCCUUUGUUUAUUACACCUUUGUUGCUUUGGCAGGCCUGCCCUCGGGCUGCUGGCUCCGGCCGGCUCGUGCCUGCCAGAGGACCUAAACUCUGUUUGUAUAUGAAGUCUGAGUACUAUAUAAUAGUUUAAACUUUCAACAACGGAUCUCUUGGUUCUG
RNAcentral lists this unclassified non-coding RNA (235 nucleotides) under plant metagenome. Its description in RNAcentral is "partial contains small subunit ribosomal RNA, internal transcribed spacer 1, and 5.8S ribosomal RNA". The record is from RNAcentral.